CCUACGGGUGGCAGCAGUGAGGAAUAUUGGUCAAUGGACGCAAGUCUGAACCAGCCAUGCCGCGUGCAGGAAGACGGCUCUAUGAGUUGUAAACUGCUUUUGUACGAGGGUAAACGCAGAUACGCGUAUCUGUCUGAAAGUAUCGUAUGAAUAAGGAUCGGCUAACUCCGUGCCAGCAGCCGCGGUAAUACGGAGGAUUCAAGCGUUAUCCGGAUUUAUUGGGUUUAAAGGGUGCGUAGGCGGUCGGAUAAGUUAGAGGUGAAAUCCCGAGGCUCAACUUCGGAAUUGCCUCUGAUACUGUGCGGCUAGAGAGUAGAUGCGGUAGGCGGAAUGUAUGGUGUAGCGGUGAAAUGCUUAGAGAUCAUACAGAACACCAGUUGCGAAGGCAGCUUACCAGGCUACUUCUGACGUUGAGGCACGAAAGCGUGGGGAGCAAACAGGAUUAGAUACCCUAGUAGUC
Molecule: ribosomal RNA, 460 nt
Filed under: uncultured bacterium
Lineage: Bacteria
Description: partial 16S ribosomal RNA
Rfam family: Bacterial small subunit ribosomal RNA
Source: RNAcentral